RNAcentral lists this ribosomal RNA (497 nucleotides) under uncultured bacterium. RNAcentral describes it as "partial 16S ribosomal RNA". It matches the Rfam family "Bacterial small subunit ribosomal RNA", at positions 28 to 507 of the family's 1533-position model. The record is from RNAcentral.
GAUGAACGCUGGCGGCGUGCCUAAUACAUGCAAGUCGAGCGAACAGAUGAGGAGCUUGCUCCUCUGACGUUAGCGGCGGACGGGUGAGUAACACGUGGAUAACCUACCUAUAAGACGGGGAUAACUUCGGGAAACCGGAGCUAAUACCGGAUAAUAUAUUGAACCGCAGGGUUCAAUAGUGAAAGACGGUUUUGCUGUCACUUAUAGAUGGAUCCGCGCCGCAUUAGCUAGUUGGUAAGGUAACGGCUUACCAAGGCGACGAUGCGUAGCCGACCUGAGAGGGUGAUCGGCCACACUGGAACUGGGACACGGUCCAGGCUCCUACGGGAGGCAGCAGUAGGGAAUCGUCCGCAAUGGGCGAAAGCCUGACGGAGCAACGCCGCGUGAGUGAUGAAGGUCUUCGGAUCGUAAAACUCUGUUAUUAGGGAAGAACAAAUGUGUAAGUAACUAUGCACGUCUUGACGGUACCUAAUCAGAAAGCCACGGCUAACUACGUG